RNAcentral lists this ribosomal RNA (354 nucleotides) under Triticum aestivum (bread wheat). Its description in RNAcentral is "partial small subunit ribosomal RNA". Lineage: Eukaryota; Viridiplantae; Streptophyta; Magnoliopsida; Poales; Poaceae. The record is from RNAcentral.
GCCACUGAUUGUCCGGAAGCAAAUAAUGGAAAUGGCAAUGGAAGCUUUGGGAAGAAGCCAAACCCUUUCAACAGGGGACAAGUGAACCACGUCGACGUGGAGGAGGUAGAAGCCCAGCCUGAUGCAGUAAUAGGUAAGUUUUUGGUUAAGUCAUUUACUGCAAUCGUUCUUUUCGAUACUAGUGCAUCGCAUUCAUACAUAUCAAGGGGAUUUGUGGAUAAGUAUAAGUUGCCCACCAAAGUUCUUAGAACACCUAUGUUUGUAAGCUCGCCAGGAGCAGAGUAUAUGGUAAGCGAAGGAUUUUUUCAGAUGCCAUUGGCCAUAGUUAGGCAUGUUUUCCCCUCAAACUUGAUA